Molecule: ribosomal RNA, 170 nt
Filed under: Heniochus singularius (singular bannerfish)
Lineage: Eukaryota; Metazoa; Chordata; Actinopteri; Chaetodontiformes; Chaetodontidae
Description: partial 12S rRNA
Source: RNAcentral
CACCGCGGUUAUACGAGAGACUCAAGUUGUUAGUCAUCGGCGUAAAGAGUGGUUAAGAUAUAACACAAACUAAAGCCGAAAGCCCUCUACGCUGUUAUACGCCUCCGAAGGUAAGAAGCUCAACUACGAAAGUGGCUUUACCCAAAUCUGAACCCACGAAAGCUAGGAAA